This 39-nucleotide non-coding RNA is filed under the name unclassified sequences. The record is from Rfam.
CUCCGACGAAGGAUAAGAAUAAGACCUUAAUUCUCGGAG